GCAGUGGUAGUUCAGUGGUAGAAUUUUCACCUCCCAUGUGGGAGACCCAGGUUCGACUCCUGGCCAAUGCG
Molecule: transfer RNA, 71 nt
Filed under: Loxodonta africana (African savanna elephant)
Lineage: Eukaryota; Metazoa; Chordata; Mammalia; Proboscidea; Elephantidae
Rfam family: tRNA
About the family: Transfer RNA (tRNA) molecules are approximately 80 nucleotides in length.
Source: Rfam by way of RNAcentral